Molecule: long non-coding RNA, 220 nt
Filed under: Elaeis guineensis (African oil palm)
Lineage: Eukaryota; Viridiplantae; Streptophyta; Magnoliopsida; Arecales; Arecaceae
Description: long non-coding RNA (EGUI_LNC027650)
Source: RNAcentral
GAUCCACAAUCUCCUAGACCAGGUGGUAGUGGUGCAGAAUAUGCUUAGUGCAUUGAUGUGACUUCGAUUCUUUCACUUAAGCAAUGGCGCCAGUGCUGUUGUAGUAUAACAAGAUAGGACCAUCGAGAGAGGAUGUCACUCCGAGCUUGGUGAUGAACUUUCAUAACCAUAAUUUUCUUCGCAGCAUCGGAUGCCACGAUAUAUUUUGCCUUGCAAGUAG